RNAcentral lists this ribosomal RNA (797 nucleotides) under uncultured bacterium. Its description in RNAcentral is "bacterial SSU rRNA". It matches the Rfam family "Bacterial small subunit ribosomal RNA", at positions 8 to 695 of the family's 1533-position model. The record is from RNAcentral.
AGAGUUUGAUCAUGGCUCAGGACGAACGCUGGCGGCGUGCCUAACACAUGCAAGUCGAGCGGAGUUAAGUUCGACACUGACACCUUAAGUAUCAAGCGGCAAAAAGCGUUCUCGAAAGGCAUCAUUAAGAAACAUUCAAUCAAGGCUUUCGAGCAUGCUGUAGCAAGUGCCUAAUGCAUAUUAAAGAUGUGAGUGUUGAACUUAACUUAGCGGCGGACGGGUGAGUAACGCGUGGGCAACCUACCUUUUACAGGGGGAUAACACAGGGAAACCUGUGCUAAUACCGCAUAAAAUCACAAUACGGCCUCGUAUAAUGAUCAAAGGAGCAAUCCGGUAAAAGAUGGGCCCGCGUCCAAUUAGCUAGUUGGUGGGGUAAAGGCCUACCAAGGCGACGAUUGGUAGCCGAACUGAGAGGUUGAUCGGCCACAUUGGGACUGAGACACGGCCCAGACUCCUACGGGAGGCAGCAGUGGGGAAUAUUGCGCAAUGGGGGGAACCCUGACGCAGCAACGCCGCGUGAAGGAUGAAGGUUUUCGGAUUGUAAACUUCUUUGAUGAGGGACGAAACAAAUGACGGUACCUCAAAAACAAGCCACGGCUAACUACGUGCCAGCAGCCGCGGUAAUACGUAGGUGGCGAGCGUUGUCCGGAAUUACUGGGUGUAAAGGGCGUGUAGGCGGGAAGACAAGUCAGAUGUGAAAUACCGAGGCUUAACUUCGGGGCUGCAUCUGAAACUGUUUUUCUUGUGUGUCGGAGAGGAAAGUGGAAAUUCCUAGUGUAGCGGUGAAAUGCGUAGAU